UUGGACCGGAUAUCAGGCAAGAUACCCGCGAACUAGCAUAUCAAUAAGCGGAGGA
RNAcentral lists this ribosomal RNA (55 nucleotides) under Phytophthora capsici. RNAcentral's name for it is "partial 28S ribosomal RNA". The record is from RNAcentral. Lineage: Eukaryota; Oomycota; Peronosporomycetes; Peronosporales; Peronosporaceae.